AAAGCAAACUCAAUUGGUCAUUCAAUCAAGAAGGUUCAGAAGUUACAUUCGAAAUCGUCAAGAUGAAAUUCACCAUCUUCUUUGCACUUGUCGCUGUUGUCAUUGCUUCUCUUUUGGGAACAGUUGCAGCGAAUGAUGAAAAAGUAAAGUUGAAUAUGGAAGGAAGACGUAUUAUCAAUGCUCAUUCGAACUGUCCCGAUGGACAAGUCGCUGACAGCAGAGGCAAUUGCAGGGACGUCUACUAACUUUUCUAAAACUCGGUUCAAUAUGUCUAAUCUCCAACCAUGGCAAUACCCAAUUCAUUGAAAUACAUCUAUUGCAUCACA
Harmonia axyridis is the source of this 326-nucleotide long non-coding RNA. RefSeq lists it as uncharacterized. The transcript is spliced from 2 exons. The record is from RefSeq and is a predicted model, not a curated record. Lineage: Eukaryota; Metazoa; Arthropoda; Insecta; Coleoptera; Coccinellidae.